RNAcentral lists this ribosomal RNA (253 nucleotides) under uncultured bacterium. Its description in RNAcentral is "partial 16S ribosomal RNA". It matches the Rfam family "Bacterial small subunit ribosomal RNA", at positions 524 to 776 of the family's 1533-position model. The record is from RNAcentral.
UACGAAGGGGACUAGCGUUGUUCGGAAUUACUGGGCGUAAAGCGCACGUAGGCGGAUUUGUUAGUCAGGGGUGAAAUCCCGGGGCUCAACCUCGGAACUGCCUUUGAUACUGCAAGUCUCGAGUCCGAUAGAGGUGGGUGGAAUUCCUAGUGUAGAGGUGGAAUUCGUAGAUAUUAGGAAGAACACCGGUGGCGAAGGCGGCCCACUGGAUCGGUACUGACGCUGAGGUGCGAAAGCGUGGGGAGCAAACAGG